ACGUGUGGCAAGGAUCCAAAGUAGGAGUAACAUGGGACCUGAUCCAGUUCUCAUGAAGUCAAUCCCACUGGCUUUUAUAAGGAUUGGAUCCAGUCCAUGGCUCAUUUGUAUGCAGCUUCUAUACGGUUAUUAUCCUGAGGCUAGAGCAAGGUUUUGAAAGACUAAACUUCUGUGAUUUAAGAAUUACUGUUAAGUACAGUUUGCCUGAUUUUUAUCUUGAAGCUUUUAAUAAAUCCUGUCCUCACUGAA
This is a long non-coding RNA of Pipra filicauda (Wire-tailed manakin), 249 nucleotides long. RefSeq lists it as uncharacterized. The record is from RefSeq and is a predicted model, not a curated record. NCBI's taxonomy places the organism in Eukaryota, Metazoa, Chordata, Aves, Passeriformes, Pipridae. The transcript has 2 exons.